This 514-nucleotide long non-coding RNA is filed under the name Daucus carota (carrot). Its description in RNAcentral is "long non-coding RNA (DCAR_LNC006354)". The record is from RNAcentral. Lineage: Eukaryota; Viridiplantae; Streptophyta; Magnoliopsida; Apiales; Apiaceae.
AUUAUGUUUAAGUUUUGAGAUAUUCAAUUGGAAUACAAUGGUGGUUUUAUUAUAAUCACACAUCUUCAUUUCCGUCUUUCUUCAGUAUUAUAUGUUUUAAGAAAAUUGUAACUGUAAGUUCCUCGUGCAAGUUUACUUGGUGUCAUUUGUUUUUACUUAUAUCUCAUUCAUAGAUCAGUUGGUAUAGAUUUGACUAACAAAUGCUAAAAAACAAGACUGUUCUUUAUCAGAUAAUUUGAGUAAGAUAUUGAUUCUUACCUCAUUGUUUUCUCUUCACCUUAUAAUUGUCCAUCCCAUAGUAAGAUAUUGCUAGCUGUAUCCUAGAAUUUGAUUAAGGUUUAUUAAGUGGUGUAUUUUCUGACUUUUUGGUAUGAUAUUUCUGUGCCCCGUGCAGGUGUAACCCAACCAUUGUGUGGGUUACUAUUGUACUCUCAAGGAAGAGGACCUGUAUUGGUCGCGCAAAGCCAUCCAGUUGAGAAGCUUAUUAAAAAUUAUAUAUCAUUCUACAAGAACA